Molecule: ribosomal RNA, 253 nt
Filed under: uncultured bacterium
Lineage: Bacteria
Description: partial 16S ribosomal RNA
Rfam family: Bacterial small subunit ribosomal RNA
Source: RNAcentral
UACGUAGGGUGCGAGCGUUGUCCGGAAUUAUUGGGCGUAAAGAGCUCGUAGGCGGUCUGUCGCGUCGGAUGUGAAAAUCCAGGGCUUAACCCUGGGCCUGCAUUCGAUACGGGCAGACUAGAGUUCGGUAGGGGAGACUGGAAUUCCUGGUGUAGCGGUGAAAUGCGCAGAUAUCAGGAGGAACACCGGUGGCGAAGGCGGGUCUCUAGGCCGACACUGACGCUGAGGAGCGAAAGCGUGGGGAGCGAACAGG